Triticum urartu is the source of this 926-nucleotide non-coding RNA. The record is from RefSeq and is a predicted model, not a curated record. NCBI's taxonomy places the organism in Eukaryota, Viridiplantae, Streptophyta, Magnoliopsida, Poales, Poaceae.
UCGCCCACUCCUCCUCACGCCCGCACGACCUAUCGCCUCCUCCUCCUCCUCCCAACGGAAGUCACAGCACGGAAGGGCAGCCGCGGGAGCCACCGACCGAUGGAGCCACCCUUCGCCGUAGGUCGCCGCGGGAGCCGUCGCGCUCUUAGCCGCGGGACGCCGCCCUUCGCCGCAGGUCGCCGCGGGAGCCGCCGACGGAGCCGCCCGCCGCGCCCUUCGAGCCGCAGGUCGCCGUUCCUCUUCUGCUUCCCGGCGGCCAAAUGUGAGCGUACAACCAAGAGCAUGUGGCAGAGGAGCGGAGGCAUCGGACGCAACAUGGGGCAGAGGAGCAAUGGCGUGAUGGUUGCGCAGAGGGAAUGUUCGUGAGGACGAAACGGUAUGAAGCAGUAACUCUACUAGAGAACAUCAUGGAUAUGGAGGUGGAGCACCCAUGCUUUUCAUAGAUAUAGAUACUGAUAUUGCCAGGUUCCGGUGAAGGGUAAUCAUUGUCAUAUGUGUAUUCUGGAAGUUGAAACGAUUAAAUACAUACCCCUGAGGAUUUGGAUGAACAGUAUGUCAAUGUCAACCUAGAUGAUGGUGACUUCUUCUGCGCCGAGCAUCGUCAUCAAGGAAUCUGCACUUUCCCAUAUAUAUACCACGAGGUACUCCUGAAGUUGCAAGAAAAAUACUACAGAAAAGCUUGUGAACUUUUGGAGGAUGUUUUGAAGACUAACAAUUGAAGAUUUACUACAUUUAAGCACCCUGGUUAAACCCAUGUAUGCCUUUUAGUUUUUUGGGCAAAACCUAAGUAUGCCUUAACAAGGAGAUUUGUAAAUUUGUAUAUUCUUUCUUGUGUACAAGGUAUUGGACCGAUGUAUGCUUCUAUUCUUGUAUUUACUUCUUGCUUGGACACUUGAACUAAUGUAUGGGUGAUGUUUACUGACCAA